This 358-nucleotide long non-coding RNA is filed under the name Manihot esculenta (cassava). RNAcentral's name for it is "long non-coding RNA (MESC_LNC001033)". Lineage: Eukaryota; Viridiplantae; Streptophyta; Magnoliopsida; Malpighiales; Euphorbiaceae. The record is from RNAcentral.
UUCCACCGGACGGUAGGAAUUUCCGAUACCGGAGUCUAGCCGGGUAUUACAUUCUCCCCCCCUUAAGAACAUUCGUCCCCGAAUGUUCCUCAGCUAGGACAUGCAUAACAUGAGACAUAACAUACAAUCAUAACAACACAUAAGUUCGAAUUUAAAAAGAAACACGGUGUCACUGGAGUACGAACUCUCGGUCUCCCUGAUGCACUUUUCAUCUUAAGGUGAUUCUAAGGGACUUUCACCAUCGGGAUUUCCUUGUUUCCACACUUUCUAACGUGCGUGUCUGCGGUCUGUACUAGCUGCUCAACAUAGGGGAGAUCCUCUGCGAUCUCCACCUCUGGUUCCUUCAAGAACCUCACUC